RNAcentral lists this ribosomal RNA (547 nucleotides) under uncultured Glomeromycotina. RNAcentral describes it as "SSU rRNA". It matches the Rfam family "Eukaryotic small subunit ribosomal RNA", at positions 550 to 1098 of the family's 1831-position model. Lineage: Eukaryota; Fungi; Glomeromycota. The record is from RNAcentral.
GGAGGGCAAGUCUGGUGCCAGCAGCCGCGGUAAUUCCAGCUCCAAUAGCGUAUAUUAAAGUUGUUGCAGUUAAAAAGCUCGUAGUUGAAUUUCGGGAUCAAUUUAUUGGUCGUGCCAACGGUACGCACUGGUACAAUUGGUUUCUCCCUUCUGACGAAGCAUGAUGUCAUUAAUUUGAUGUCGUGGGGAAUCAGGACUGUUACUUUGAAAAAAUUUGAGUGUUUAAAGCAGGCUUUGGCUUGAAUACAUUAGCAUGGAAUAAUGAAAUAGGACGUUUGAUCUUAUUUCGUUGGUUUCUAAGAUCGACGUAAUGAUUAAUAGGGAUAGUUGGGGGCAUUAGUAUUCAAUUGUCAGAGGUGAAAUUCUUGGAUUUAUUGAAGACUAACUACUGCGAAAGCAUUUGCCAAGGAUGUUUUCAUUAAUCAAGAACGAAAGUUAGGGGAUCGAAGACGAUCAGAUACCGUCGUAGUCUUAACCAUAAACUAUGCCGACUAGGGAUCGGAUGAUGUUAAUUUUUUAAUGACUCAUUCGGCGCCUUACGGGAAAC